RNAcentral lists this long non-coding RNA (904 nucleotides) under Calidris pugnax (ruff). Its description in RNAcentral is "lncRNA (ENSCPUG00000000342.1)". Lineage: Eukaryota; Metazoa; Chordata; Aves; Charadriiformes; Scolopacidae. The record is from RNAcentral.
CAGAAGAGACCCAGCAGCCUUGAUAACCUUUUUUUCACCAGGCAGGAACCUUCAUGGCCAACUGCAGCCUAUCCUGCAGGAAGUAUUUCCAAGCAAGUCAGAUAUCACUGACAUCUUCAUGAUAAACCACUUAAACACACAAUCAAAGACCCACCUUUAGACGUCGCGACUGAAGUUGUUUUCAAAGAAAAGUAUGAAGAGAAAAACUCUGCUCUCGUGUGUAGAUCGGGCAUAACUCAAGAGCUAAAACCAGAAUAGGGCCUGGAAAUUUUAUCUUUUGGCUCAGAAAACAGGAGUGAACAAAAGGCCUGAUUCAUCACUGAGGAAAGCCAAGUCAGCACCAAAGGUUCAUAUUAAUUUGCUAAUUUGAUUUAGGACUUGACCGGUGAGGCAAGGUGACUGCAUUGAAAGCACUGACUUCAGACAACUUGAGCUAUUCUUAAAAUGAUAUAAAAUAUUAUUGAAGACAGGCAUUGCUCUAGGUGGCAGCUUUGGAAAGUAUUAUUACUGCUGUCACUGAGCGACAGACUGUGAUGCAAGUCUGAUGGGUGCUGAAAAUUAGAGCAAGUUUUGUCCCAGAUACUUUUCCAUGUGCAAAGGAACCAUAUAAUAUGCAGGGAUUCGUUCACAAUUACGGUACUUGUAGAAGAUCUUUAUUCUGUGUCCAGAUGUCCAAGCCUAGCAACAUGCAGACCUUACAAAGUGUCUAGUCUUGGAAAGCUCAACCAUUGAAGAAAAGCACAUUUCCAAAUGUCCCACCGUGAAUGACAGCUUGGCCCCAAAACCUGGUCGUUCAUCUUGAGUGAUGAAGUGGAUGGAACGAUUUGCAGAGGACAACAGGCCCAAGACAUUACAGGAGAUGGUUAGAAGAUUCUACCUACCCCAGAGCAGUCAGAUGAGCUGA